This 3020-nucleotide ribosomal RNA is filed under the name Mazzaella japonica. RNAcentral describes it as "eukaryotic LSU rRNA". It matches the Rfam family "Eukaryotic large subunit ribosomal RNA". The record is from RNAcentral. Lineage: Eukaryota; Rhodophyta; Florideophyceae; Gigartinales; Gigartinaceae.
AGACGGGACUUCAUUGUAACAUAAACCACUAUAAACAUUUUGGAUCUCAAAUCAGACAAGACGACCCGCUGAAUUUAAGCAUAUAAUUAAGCGGAGGAAAAGAAACUAACAAGGAUUCCCCUAGUAGCGGCGAGCGAAGCGGGAAAAGCCCAAUAUGAAAAGCCUGCUUGCAGGCGUUGUAGUUGAGCGUCCUCGGGUUGUCAGUGUGGGCAAGUCGCAUGGAAAUGCGCGCCGUGGAGGGUGAGAGCCCCGUCCAACUCACACAGGACAUAUCCGCACGAGGGCGUUUCAGAUGAGUCGGGUAGCUUGGGAAUGCUGCUCUAAUCGGUGGUAAAUCUCAUCGAAGGCUAAAUAGCGGCUGGAGACCGAUAGCGAACAAGUACCGUGAGGGAAAGAUGACAAGCACUUUGAAAAGAGGGUGAAAAGAGCCUGAAACCGUCACGGGGGAAGCGGAUCGCGUUGGAUUGAUGGGCGCUUGCGUGUUCAGCCCUUUGGGUGCAUUGGCGCAAGUUGUUUAUCCGCUGUGGGUUUUCGGGGGUUGAUUUUGAACCCCUGGGGACUGAGGGCUCCCUUUUAUAGGUUGAGGACAGCGGAGUGACGACGCGAUACGACCCGUCUUGUAACACGGACCAAGGAGUCUAGCGCGGGUGCGAGUCGGAGGGUGCAAGCCCGUGGGCGAAGUGAAAGCGAGUGUAAAAACGAGCAGUUUGGGGCGGCAUAAGAUCGUUGAUCUUAAGACCGACCCAGAGCAGUUGCGCUGGGACCCGAAAGAUGGUGAACUAUGCCGGAGUAGGGCAAAGCCAGAGGAAACUCUGGUGGAGGCUCGUAGCGGUGCUGACGUGCAAAUCGCUCGUCGAACUUGGGUAUAGGGGCGAAAGACUAAUCGAACCAUCUAGUAGCUGGUUCCCUCCGAAGUUUCUCUCAGGAUAGCGGGCCGACAAGUUGUUUUGUGCGGUAAAGCGAAUGAUUAGCGCAUUUCGGGGGCGUUUAGCCUUUGGGCGAUUCUCAAACUUUCAAUGCGCAAGGGUGCCGCUGCUUAAUUGAGCGGUACCGGUAAAAACGUCGGCCCUGUGGGCCACUUUUGGUAAGCAGAACUGGCGAUACGGGAUGAACCGUAAGCAUGGUUAAGGCGCCAAACUGCCCGCUUAUAGACCCCACAAAAGGUGUUGAUUCAUCGAGACAGCAGGACGGUGGCCAUGGAAGUCGGAAUCCGCCAAGGAGUGUGUAACAACUCACCUGCCGAAUGAAUUAGCCCUGAAAAUGGAUGGCGCUGAAGCGGGCGGCCGACACCAUGCCGUCUGGACAAGAAAUGUUUUCAGAUGAGUAGGAGGGCGUGGCGGCCGUGUCGAAGCGCGCUUGCAGAAGCGUGUGGAACGGCCGCUAGUGCAGAUCUUGGUGGUAGUAGCAAGUAUUCAAGCGAGAUCCUUGAAGGGCGAAGUGGGGAAGGGUUUCACGCGAACAUUGAUUGGGCGUGAGUGAGUCGUUCCUAAGCCGAGUGGCAAUUGCUAAUUAACGGCGAAAGGGAAGCGGGUUGACAUUCCCGCACACGGAUGUGGAGGCGGCGACGCAUUAUUGGGGCGAACACGCUGGCGAUGGCGCUGGGCAGAGUUGUCUUUUCUGUUUGACCGCUUGCGCACGCAGUGUGGAAUCCGCUUGUCGGGAGAAACACGCGUGUACGGGCAGAGCGCUGGGGCUUUUCCAGCGUCCAGCUCGCCAUCGACGGCCCUUGAAACUUUGCCUGCUGAAUUAAGAUCCACGCCGUGGCGUACCGAUCACCGCAUCAGGUCCCCAAGGUGAACAGCCUCUGCUCAAUAUGAAAAAUGCAGGUAAGGGAAGUCGGCAAAUUGGACCCGUAACUUUGGGAAAAGGGUUGGCUCUAGUGCUGCGUGGGAGUGGUUGUCGGAUGCUGGCGCUUUUAGCGUGGCGGAUUGGCGCGGUACUCCUUUUGGGGCGCUGUUCCUGCUGCUACGCCGAUUGUGCCACGCCCGACGACGCCCACAGCAUGCAGCAGACUAGAACUGCAACGGGCAAAGGGAAUCCGACUGUUUAAUUAAAACAAAGCAUUGCGAGGGCCGUGGCCGGUGAUGACGCAAUGUGAUUUCUGCUCAGUGCUCUGAAUGUCAAAGUGAAGAGAUUCAAUCAAGCGCGGGUAAACAGCGGGAGUAACUAUGACUCUCUUAAGGUAGCCAAAUGCCUCGUCAUCUAAUUAGUGACGCGCAUGAAUGGAUUAACGAGAUUCCUACUGUCCCUAUCUGCUUCUAGCGAAACCACAGCCGAGGGAACGGGCUCGGCGAAAUCGGCGGGGAAAGAAGACCCUGUUGAGCUUGACUCUAUUCUAAUUUUGUGAAGCAAGUUGGGAGGCGUAGCAUAGGUGGGAGCGCUUGCGCGUCCGUGAAAUACCACUACUCCCAGUCUUGCUUUACUUACUGGGUUGGUGUGGAUGAGUCUUACGACUCUAUUCUAGAACCAAUGUGCGUUUGUGCAGACCACAGCCCAGCACACAUUUAGGAGGGGAGUUUGGCUGGGGCGGCACAUCUUCUACAAGACAACGAAGGUGUCCAAAGAUGAGCUCAGUGAGAACAGAAAUCUCACGUAGCGCAAAAGGGUAAAAGCUCGUUUGAUUUUGAUUUUCAGUGCGAGUCGAAAACGCGAAAGCGUGGCCUAUCGAUCCUUUCACGAUUCGAGAUUUGAAGCGAGAGGUGUCAGAAAAGUUACCACAGGGAUAACUGGCUUGUGGCGGCCAAGCGUUCAUAGCGACGUCGCUUUUUGAUCCUUCGAUGUCGGCUCUUCCUAUCAUUGCGUAGCAGAAUACGCCAAGUGUCGGAUUGUUCACCCGCCAACAGGGAACGUGAGCUGGGUUUAGACCGUCGUGAGACAGGUUAGUUUUAUCCUACCGAUGAGUUGUCGUCGCGGCAGUAAUUCAAGGCAGUACGAGAGGAACGCUUGAUUCAAAUCGCUGGUACAUGCAGCUGCAGGAGCCUGCAGUGCUGCGACGCUACCGUUUGAAUGAUCAGAAAGGC